Molecule: small RNA, 26 nt
Filed under: Bombyx mori (domestic silkworm)
Lineage: Eukaryota; Metazoa; Arthropoda; Insecta; Lepidoptera; Bombycidae
Description: ovarian small RNA-35280
Source: RNAcentral
UGUAAAGAUUGAUGUAGGGCAUGUCC